UACGUACUGUGUGAAUGUUAUUCGGAAUCACUGGGCUUACAGGGUGCGUAGGCGGCUAACCAGGUCCGAUGUGAAAUCCCCUGGCUUAACCGGGGAACUGCAUUGGAAACCGGCUAGCUUGAGUAGGUUAGAGGUGCACGGAACUUCUGGUGGAGCGGUGAUAUGUGUUGAUAUCGGAAGGAACACCAGAGGCGAAAGCGGUGCACUGGGGUCUGACUGAUGCUGAGGCACGAAAGCCAGGGGAGCGAAUGGG
Molecule: unclassified non-coding RNA, 253 nt
Filed under: uncultured Planctomycetales bacterium
Lineage: Bacteria; Pseudomonadati; Planctomycetota; Planctomycetia; Planctomycetales
Description: contains 16S-23S intergenic spacer region
Rfam family: Bacterial small subunit ribosomal RNA
Source: RNAcentral